AGGACGAACGCUGGCGGCGUGCUUAACACAUGCAAGUCGAGCGGAAAGGCCCUUCGGGGUACUCGAGCGGCGAACGGGUGAGUAACACGUGAGUAAUCUACCCCUAGCUCUGGGAUAGCUCCGGGAAACCGGGAUUAAAUACCGGAUAUGACUCCUUCAGACAUCUUGAGGAGUGGAAAGAUUUAUCGGCUAGGGAUGAGCUCGCGGCCUAUCAGCUUGUUGGUGGGGUAACGCCCACCAAGGCGACGACGGGU
Molecule: ribosomal RNA, 254 nt
Filed under: uncultured bacterium
Lineage: Bacteria
Description: partial small subunit ribosomal RNA
Rfam family: Bacterial small subunit ribosomal RNA
Source: RNAcentral